RNAcentral lists this ribosomal RNA (585 nucleotides) under uncultured bacterium. RNAcentral describes it as "bacterial SSU rRNA". It matches the Rfam family "Bacterial small subunit ribosomal RNA", at positions 340 to 916 of the family's 1533-position model. The record is from RNAcentral.
UACGGGAGGCAGCAGUGGGGAAUUUUCCGCAAUGGGCGAAAGCCUGACGGAGCAAUACCGCGUGAGGGAGGAAGGCUCUUGGGUUGUAAACCUCUUUUCUCAGGGAAGAAGUUCUGACGGUACCUGAGGAAUCAGCAUCGGCUAACUCCGUGCCAGCAGCCGCGGUAAUACGGAGGAUGCAAGCGUUAUCCGGAAUGAUUGGGCGUAAAGCGUCCGCAGGUGGCACUCCAAGUCUGCUGUCAAAGGUCGGGGCUCAACUCCGAACAGGCAGUGGAAACUGGAGAGCUAGAGUGCGGUAGGGGCAGAGGGAAUUCCCGGUGUASCGGUGAAAUGCGUASAGAUCGGGGAAGAACACCAGUGGCUGAAAGCGCUCUGCUAGGCCGCAACUGACACUUCAGGGACUGAAAGCUAGGGGAGCGAAUGGGAUUASAUACCCCAGUAGUCCUWRCCCGUAAACGAUGGAUACUAGGCGUGGCAUGUAUCUGACCCSGUGCCAGUGCCCGGACGCUAACCGCUGUUAAGGUAUCCCGGCCUGGGGAUGUACUGCCGNGGCUCAAGCAGUGNNAUCUCANAGUCAAUUGNUGU